RNAcentral lists this ribosomal RNA (253 nucleotides) under uncultured bacterium. Its description in RNAcentral is "partial 16S ribosomal RNA". It matches the Rfam family "Bacterial small subunit ribosomal RNA", at positions 524 to 776 of the family's 1533-position model. The record is from RNAcentral.
UACGUAGGGUGCAAGCGUUAUCCGGAAUCACUGGGCGUAAAGCGUGCGCAGGCGGCUUUGCAAGACAGAUGUGAAAUCCCCGGGCUUAACCUGGGAACUGCAUUUGUGACUGCAUGGCUGGAGUGCGGCAGAGGGGGAUGGAAUUCCGCGUGUAGCAGUGAAAUGCGUAGAUAUGCGGAGGAACACCGAUGGCGAAGGCAAUCCCCUGGGCCUGCACUGACGCUCAUGCACGAAAGCGUGGGGAGCAAACAGG